This 465-nucleotide ribosomal RNA is filed under the name Vreelandella stevensii. RNAcentral describes it as "partial 16S ribosomal RNA". It matches the Rfam family "Bacterial small subunit ribosomal RNA", at positions 338 to 795 of the family's 1533-position model. Lineage: Bacteria; Pseudomonadati; Pseudomonadota; Gammaproteobacteria; Oceanospirillales; Halomonadaceae. The record is from RNAcentral.
CCUACGGGGGGCAGCAGUGGGGAAUAUUGGACAAUGGGGGCAACCCCGAUCCAGCCAUGCCGCGUGUGUGAAGAAGGCCCUCGGGUUGUAAAGCACUUUCAGUGAGGAAGAACGCCUGGUGGUUAAUACCCAUCAGGAAAGACAUCACUCACAGAAGAAGCACCGGCUAACUCCGUGCCAGCAGCCGCGGUAAUACGGAGGGUGCGAGCGUUAAUCGGAAUUACUGGGCGUAAAGCGCGCGUAGGUGGCUUGAUAAGCCGGUUGUGAAAGCCCCGGGCUCAACCUGGGAACGGCAUCCGGAACUGUCAAGCUAGAGUGCAGGAGAGGAAGGUAGAAUUCCCGGUGUAGCGGUGAAAUGCGUAGAGAUCGGGAGGAAUACCAGUGGCGAAGGCGGCCUUCUGGACUGACACUGACACUGAGGUGCGAAAGCGUGGGUAGCAAACAGGAUUAGAUACCCUAGUAGUC